Molecule: ribosomal RNA, 481 nt
Filed under: uncultured bacterium
Lineage: Bacteria
Description: bacterial SSU rRNA
Rfam family: Bacterial small subunit ribosomal RNA
Source: RNAcentral
UGACAGUACUCCUACGGGGAGGCAGCAGUGGGGGAAUAGUUGCACAAUGGGGCGCAAGCCUGAUGCAGCCAUGCCGCGUGUGUGAAGAAGGCCUUCGGGUUGUAAAGCACUUUCAGUCGUGAGGAAGGUAGUGUAGUUAAUAGCUGCAUUAUUUGACGUUUAGCGACAGAAGAAGCACCGGCUAACUCCGUGCCAGCAGCCGCGGUAAUACGGAGGGUGCGAGCGUUAAUCGGAAUUACUGGGCGUAAAGCGCAUGCAGGUGGUUUGUUAAGUCAGAUGUGAAAGCCCGGGGCUCAACCUCGGAAUAGCAUUUGAAACUAGGCAGACUAGAGUACUGUAGAGGGGGGUAGGAAUUUCAGGUGUAGCGGUGAAAUGCGUAGAGAUCUGAAGGAAUACCGGUGGCGAAGGCGGCCCCCUCGGACAGAUACUGACACUCAGAUGCGAAAGCGUGGGGAGCAAACAGGAUUAGAUACCCUGGUAG